GGGCCCUUCGUCUAUCGGUUAGGACGUCAGGUUUUCAACCUGAAAAGAGGGGUUCGACUCCCCUAGGGCCUG
Molecule: transfer RNA, 72 nt
Filed under: alpha proteobacterium U9-1i
Lineage: Bacteria; Pseudomonadati; Pseudomonadota; Alphaproteobacteria
Also listed under: 2 other names
Rfam family: tRNA
About the family: Transfer RNA (tRNA) molecules are approximately 80 nucleotides in length. Their secondary structure includes four short double-helical elements and three loops (D, anti-codon, and T loops).
Source: Rfam by way of RNAcentral